This is a long non-coding RNA of Pipra filicauda (Wire-tailed manakin), 7071 nucleotides long. RefSeq lists it as uncharacterized. Lineage: Eukaryota; Metazoa; Chordata; Aves; Passeriformes; Pipridae. The transcript has 7 exons. The record is from RefSeq and is a predicted model, not a curated record.
UCUUUGGAGUUCUGCUGGCAGAAGUGGCAGCUCACUCCAAAGGGAUCUGCCUUUGUCAUCCCUACCAUUCUAGAUGUUGCAAUAUUAACAUCUGGCUGUUCACUCGUAUUAUUUCAUCUGACUUUGGGUCUAAGCAGAAAAUGCCUAAUCAGUAGUCCCACACAAUCAAUGAAGUAUUUAAUGUCUUCAAUAAUUAAUCACUUUCUUUAAGUGUAAUUCCUAAGGGCCCUAUCUUUUUCAACCUCUAAAUUAGGGAAGAAAGACCAGCAAAAAGUCACAGUUUUACCGAAUGAAAAUAAUGUCUGUUUUAAUUAUUUUAAUUAUUUUCCUAACAUGACAAAUGCUAGAGAUCCUCAUGACUGUUCCAUGGCUCAAGUUGUGGAAAACAUUAAGCAGGAAGAGCAUAAAAAUUCAGCUACUUCCUAGGAAUACAAAUGAGAAAGUUUUAAGGGUUUUUUUCUGUUAGCCUGAAGCUCACAGAAAUCCUGUCUCUUAAUUUGAGGUAAGGAAUUUAAAAGUUUUUCGAAUAGAUUUAGAAGUGAUUAUAGUUAUAAGGUCAGAAGAAUAGUCAAUUAGGAGGUGUUUGUGGAAGAUGUACUUGUUCUUUUCAUAUCCAUUUGUCUGGAAGUUUAGAAAGAUAAGAAAAAGUAUAAGUAGAGUUCAUAUUUCGACAGACACUGAACAGUGGAAUAAAGAUCCAUUAUAUAUUGCAAUAAAAGAAGGGGAUGAGAGAAUUUUGCAAUGGACCAGUUUUUGGAGAGUCAGCUCUUAGCCAUAUGAAGCUAUUUCUGGUUCAAAAAAAGACAUCUCUGCUACACUGAGAAAUUGAAAAAAAUGAAAAGCUGAUCUGAACAACCACCACCAGGAUCUGUCCGAGUUCCCAACAUCAUUUAUUUCUGGAGUAGGUCUUUCAAAACACAUGCUGGUUUCUAGUGCUCAGUGGGAUUAGUGCCCUCAGCAUCCCCCUUCUGUCACUCUGUUGUUCCUUAGUGACCACAAGAGUGUGAUCUACAGGUAGAGAUAAUUGAUUUAUAUGUGUGUGUGUGUGUGUGUGUGUGUGUGUGUGUAGAGCACAUUUGUUUGAGAUGCCUUUGUGUGGGAAGAAUCUAUCCAGCCAUCUCUGAAAUCCCUAAGUCUAUAACCAAUAUACUGAAAUUUAGAUUCUACAUAUUCUUUAUACUUGCUGCUUAAAAACGUCUUUUCAGCCCUCUCCUGUAUUCCUAUACUUUUUCCAAUCCAUCUCCUUUAGAAAAACUGCUGAAGAGCCGUGUUUUGUACACAGAGUACAUUUUAUGGCAACAGCAACACAGAGUGGUGAAAUCCAUUAGUGGAAGCAGCGUAAGUACAAAGAAGUGCAUAUAAGCACCUUUUUUGCAGUUGAUGUUUCAGGAUGCUUUAGCUGAAGAGUAUCUUAUGAAACCACAGCUUCACUUUCCCCUUGGUUAAAAAGAAAAGCUACUGGCAAGAAGGUGUUCAGGCCCGUGAUGUUUUUAAUCUGCUCCAUCAGCUGUGCUGAGCAUUUUACCGGCUGGGUCAUACAGCGUGACCUAGAGAUUUAAAGGGAAAAUGGGUUGUUCAGGCUUUGGAUGGCUGUGGAUGAACUUCUGCAGAGGGACUUGGGGUUGAUGGGACAGCAUCCUGAACUUCCUGAGCCCCCAUCCAGGCAAAAUCUCUAUCAGUUCCAAGUGGGUGGGCAGAAGCAAGAGCCGGGGUUUGUCCCCAGAAUCAGAGGAGCACGAGCAGAUGGUUUAUGAAAAUUUUGUGUUGUCAAUUCCACCAGAAAAUCCUUGUGGAAACCAAACCUCACAUCAGAACCAUCCCUGCCCAAAGCUGUGACUUCCUGCAGGGAGAGCAAGAUAUUCGUCUUGUUCCUGAUGAAUAACUACUUAGUUCUGCAAACGAAUGUAAUGAAAGUGCGUUUUCCUUAAUGAAUGAACUGCAAAAUUAAAUCAGUAUUUUUCAGUCAACUAUAGCUAUUUCAGUAAGUUGUGUCUGCUUCUUCCACAAUGCUGAAUCACAAUGUCAAACCAGCACAACUGAAUUAUAGGAGAGGAAAUAAAGUAACAUGCUGAACACCAGCAAGUUACUUCAAAUUGCCAGUGCCAUAACUACCUAUGGGGAAUGAGAACAGUCAAGGCAUAGAUUCAGCUGGGGGAAAAUUGACUCAGAGUGACUGAUUUGCAAAGUUUCAAGGCUCAAUUUUUCAUCCCAUCUGAGCUUUAUAGACUGGUUGCACCCUUCAGUCUGUUACUGGUUUUGCUACAGGGAUUUUUUUAGCUGUGAAGAAGUGAGGGAAAGUAAUUGAAGAACCAGUAUUUGUACAUUUGGCUUUUAAAAAGGUAAAGGAACUUGUUGAUUUUCAGUGCAAUGUUAGUUUGCAUUUUGUUGUUCUUAAAAAUAGAUCCCAAAAUCCUUUCUACAGAAGAGAAAAUAUUGCAGCCAAAUAAUUUUUCUUUGCAUUUUUAAGCAGAGAUGAGUACCUUAUUCCUUAUUUUAAUGUGCUGAGAAACAUGGUGCAGUGACUUUAUUGUCAUAUGAGGUUGUAAUGGAGUGUUUUAUAUGGAAUGAAAAGCCAGAAAUUUCAAGUGAAAUAUAUGGCUUUGUUUGUGAUGAAGGCAACAAAGGCAGAAUCUCUCCACAGUUAACAGGUAACUCCAAGAAAUAGAUUAUAUAUUGAUGCAAUACAUUGUUUUUUAAAAGUAGUAAUGAAUUGAGCCAUAGUUGAGAAAUCAAGUACUAAAGUUGUUGGCUCUGGUGACUACAUGUACAGAUCACCUCUGACUAAUAUGUUUCGUCAUAUUAGUCAGGACAAUUUAUUAAGUCCUGUAAUUUGUGAAUAUUUCAUAUUUAUUUUCUCCAUUGCCAUGGGAAGGCGGGAGCUGGGAAAGCAAAGGUCGUAUCUAAGCUGUAUUUGUGCUGGUAAAAUGAAGAGGUAAAUGCACCUAAGUCAAUAUAUUAGGGAUGUGCAUUUUGGUUUAGAGAUAAAAAUUGCAUUUUUCAUCUCAUUUCUUUCCAGAUAAGAAAUCUGAGAGUUCAAUCUGAGAAUGUGCAAACUUCAUUCCUAAGAAUCCCCACCAUAUUUAAUUGUCUAAGAUAUAAUUUACUCUAUCUGACGCAGAGUCAUUGCUCCUAAUGCAGAUCAAAAUAUGUCUGUCCCUUUCAGUAGAAGCAAAACUGGGACAAGAAGAAAUUCUCAUUGUAAACACAAUCUUCUCUCUCAAAGCUUAGCCUUCCAGCCCUGAGGAGUUAAGCUCCCACCUCAGACAUGGAAGCCUUUCCCUCGCAGAAGUGAGUAUGAAUCCCAAUCCUGCAGCACAGCCCCACCUCCACUGUUAAGGUGAAAUGUAGGAGGGUUGAGACAAUAAGGAAAAUAAGUAGCUGUGAACCUACGAGUGACCAGGAGUCUGUGGAGUGACCUAGUGUUUGGCCAACUCAGAUACACAGGCUGCCUUGGCAGAACUUGGAAGCAGGAAGAUGUUUGGGAAUGCAUCCAGCUGCAAAGGGCCCAUAGAGAAGGAUGAUGCUGGCACAGUCUGUGUGGCAGGUGAUCAUGGGUUGUUUUCAAGUGUUUACUGCAUUUUUUGAUUAAGAAGUGGUCAGAUCAUUUGGGGGUGAGGAGGAGGGAGUCUGGGUCACUCAUGGAUGAAAGUUUGGGUUAAUUAUUAGCAGCAAAUUGGCAGGGGAGGGAAGGGAAAGGGAGGUAGAAGAGGAGGGGGCUGGCAUUCUGGGACUGUAAGAGAAACCUCUAAUUCUUACCCCCCCUUCCCCUCUGACUCUACUUUUCAUUCAUGAGUGGUGAUUCACCUUUGUCUCUUAUUAUUCUCUCUUCUGUGUACACAUUUAAAGCACCCAGUCAGCAUGGAAACUACCUCUCAUAUAAAUGUCAUCUGUUCCAUGGAGACAGAACCAGAAAGAUCAUAAAGUUACAGCAAAUCCGUGCCAGCCUCACCGGAACACAAUGUUCAGUUCAGUACCUAAAACUCUGGGGUUUGGCUGGAAAAUAUUAGACUAAUCCCUGAUAACUUUCAGAAUAUAAGAUCAUCUGAACAUUUUAAAGUGCAGAGCUCCUGAGCAGAGCUGUCCUUCCACUUCUCAUGGAUGUCCCUCCCACAGCAGCUGCAUCUUAAACAGGAAUCCAGCUGAAGCAGCAAGGCUGCCGUGGUACUUUACAGGUCAUGUAUCAUGAGAAGCAGUGUUGUGCUCACACCUUUGUAGAGUUGUGGCUUCCAGCUCAUUGUGAACCUGGCACUGAAUCUCUGCUGGUGGUUUUGCUGCCUGUAUUAGGUAUUAUUCAGUUAUCUGGGACGUCUGAUAAAAUCUUUGUACUGGCUUGAAAAUAUCAGCGUAUCACAUGGCAGGCCAACCUGAGAAGAACUGUGUCAUUCUGAGGUCUAGUGGAUGAGAUGCUGGGAAGCACAAGGGAAGGAGGAAUUCUUCCUUCGCCAUCUACCAAAGGAGAAGAAAAGCUACUUGAGAGUUCUUCUCUCUCACAUGUGCCAUGUCACUUUGGAGGGAAAAGAGUCUUACAGAAGGGGACCAUACUCAUCAGCAUCAUCAGUAUCUGUGUAAAAAAGGUAUAGGUGUGUGCAGAACAGGCAGCAAACUGUUCAGAGACAGACUGGAAACACAGUCUUAAGAGCCUUCCUUAAUUUGGGUUUGCCUUUUCAACCGGUGGUACAAAAUUGGAUGAUACUUCAUAAACUUAUCUUACCAACACACUUAACAGCUUUUAUGAAAAUGCUUCUUUUUGUAAUAUUUAAACUCUGCAAGUCUGUGAGUUCUCAAGUGCUAUGCAAAGGUCUCCCACAGCAUGCACUUUAUAUGUGGCUUUAAUUGUCUGAAACACGUGUUGCUUUUACUGAGGAUGUUCCCAGGUGCCUGUGUUGAUUGGAGGUUCCUGGGAGGGUUCACUAAAAAUCAUUAGUCCUGGUGGAAGAAAGCUUGCUCUGGUGCCUGGACUGAGGAUCUGAACAGGCCACUCUGAGGCAGUGAGUAUUGCAAGCUCAAAAAACAGAUCAGGGCUUAAAAUGUCACCCAAUUCUCCAGUGCCCUGACCCGACAGUAAUUGCUUACUUCUGAACACACACAGUCUGUUUUAUUACUAGUGUUACACUGCACAGAGGUAGCAUUUACUUACCUUUCCCAAGUUAAACAAAUGUCCAGAAUCGCAAAGAAUUGGGCAAAGUGUGUUCCUCCAAGAGCUUUACCUUUCUGAACUGUCAUAAAAUAUUAACUGUUAACAGAAGAAUUACUUUCACUUUUGUCACCACUAUUUGUUUUUCCAGGCUGCUGAAUACACAAGCCAGAGGCCCUGUGAGCCUUUGCAAUAAUGUUUUCAUACACUGCCAUCUGUUGUUACGGUGUGUCCCUGUCGCUGCUGUGCUGUCCCGCCGGGGGUUCUAUUCCAGCAGGAAGCAGUUCCUUUCCAGGAAGUAUGUUCAAAGCAUAGUCAAGCUUUAAUUCAUACAUGUAGAUUCUAACAAUUCUGCUUUCAGUUAUGGCAACGGCCAAAUUAGUGUUGCUUUUAAUCCCACUUCACUUAUUUCAAUAGUAAGUUUGUACCUUUAUUCACACCAGAGCAUUCAUGUUCUAAAUCAGCAGUGAAUUUACAGCAAAACAUACACACACAUAUCACAAACUUCCCAUGUAUUUAUACAUACCAAAAUUAGAAAGGAUCCUGUCAGUGCAUGAAUACAUUUACACUCACGGACCUGCUUAUUUAGAGAGCUGUUCCAGAAUCUGCAUGUUUACUUAACAUUUUGGAUAUAAUUAAGCUAUGGAUUUGAAUCCAAGAUCUGAUCAGUUAGCACCUUAUUCCCUAAAUCUGUAUUAUAAAAAAAUAGAACAUAAUGUUACAGAAGCUGUCAGAAAAGUAAAAUAACUUGUGUGUGAUUGAAUAAGGGGUGAUCAUGUGUGUUGGAGAGCAAACCUAAAGCACCCAGGCACACAGUCACAAACCAGCUGGCAAGUGAAGGAGAUAAGUGAAGGAGCUAGGAAUUGGUCUAAGCCUAUGGAAUUACAGCUGAGUACCCCUGCCUUAGAGCAGCUCACCUAAGUGUGCAGCUAUCCUAGUUCCACAAGUGCUUGUGUGGGAGAUGGCACAGUUCUGACUGCCCAGGAGGUCAGAACUGCAACUGUGAUUUUUGUGUGUGUUACAACUCGUCUGAGCACAAGCCUCGGAUCUGAAGCACUGGACACAGGAGAGAGCCUUUGUACUUGACACCAUGGGGACAAACUUCCAAAAGGCCAGUUUUCAACUUCUUUAAAAAAGAGAAUGUAUCUGAUCAAUACACUUAAAGAACUCGCGUAUUCAAAAAUGUAGAAAGGCACAGGAGAGUUAGUCAUUUAUCGCAUUCACAAAAAUAUAAGUUUAUUUGCAUAUCCAAAUACAGGAUAUUUAUUUAAGUGAAAACUGUAUGCUCCAGUUUAAAUAAUUUCACUUGCCAUUUAAUAAAACUGCAGUCUUAAUAACUGCAACUAACAUUACUGCCCAAACACUAAAGAACUCGAAGCUUCUUUCUGUUCUUUAUGCAGCUGUUUUGCCCUGUUUUUCAGAUCCUCUGCCUUAGCAUCAUUCUUUUCCACGCCAUCUCCCAGUUUGUACAUGCGGCUGGCAUUGGCACAGGCCCACAUGUGCCCCAGCUCACACCCUUUCAGUGAGUACUUCAGGGCACGGCCCAUGUCCUUGGGGACCCCAGGUGCCCCCUGCAGGUAUAUCACACCCAGGUUGAAGCAGCUGGCAGCAAAAUUGCCAUCACAGGCUUUUGUGUAAUAGUCUCUAGCGACCACGAGGUCAGGUUUGUCAUUGUUCACUCUCCCAUCGUGGGCCAACAGCCCGACGUUGUGACAGGCAUUCACUGACUUCUUCCCACCUUUCUCACAUGACUUCAGGAAAGACUUGUAGGCAGCUUUCAAAUCUGGUUCAAGUCCACCUGUCAGCCAAGAACCCAAAACAUUUCAGUAAGGACAUGAUAAAACAGAUAGGAGGUCUCUCUGCUUUGCAGCAUGCUUCCCUUCCCACUGGAAAUACAGCAUCCCUCUCUCUAGAUACCACAGUCAACAUUUAGGACU